UAGGGAAUCUUCCACAAUGGCGCAGCCUGAUGGAGCAACACCGCGUGAGUGAAGAAGGGUUUCGGCUCGUAAAGCUCUGUUGUUAAAGAAGAACACGUAUGAGAGUAACUGUUCAUACGUUGACGGUAUUUAACCAGAAAGUCACGGCUAACUACGUGCCAA
Molecule: ribosomal RNA, 162 nt
Filed under: uncultured bacterium
Lineage: Bacteria
Description: partial 16S rRNA
Rfam family: Bacterial small subunit ribosomal RNA
Source: RNAcentral